UGGGGAAUAUUGCACAAUGGGCGAAAGCCUGAUGCAGCGACGCCGCGUGAGGGAUGACGGCCUUCGGGUUGUAAACCUCUUUCAGCAGGGACGAAGCGUAAGUGACGGUACCUGCAGAAGAAGCACCGGAUAACUACGUGCCAGCAGCCGCGGUAAUACGUAGGGUGCAAGCGUUGUCCGGAAUUACUGGGCGUAAAGAGUUCGUAGGCGGUUUGUCGCGUCGUUUGUGAAAACCAGCAGCUCAACUGCUGGCUUGCAGGCGAUACGGGCAGACUUGAGUACUGCAGGGGGGACUGGAAUUCCUGGUGUAGCGGUGAAAUGCGCAGAUAUCAGGAGGAACACCGGUGGCGAAGGCGGGUCUCUGGGCAGUAACUGACGCUGAGGAACGAAAGCGUGGGUAGCGAACAGG
Molecule: ribosomal RNA, 409 nt
Filed under: Bacillota bacterium
Lineage: Bacteria; Bacillati; Bacillota
Description: Firmicutes bacterium partial 16S ribosomal RNA
Rfam family: Bacterial small subunit ribosomal RNA
Source: RNAcentral